RNAcentral lists this small RNA (107 nucleotides) under Marmota monax (woodchuck). Lineage: Eukaryota; Metazoa; Chordata; Mammalia; Rodentia; Sciuridae. The record is from RNAcentral.
GCCAGGCAUGGUGAUGCACACCAGUAAUCCCAGCUACUCGGGAGGCUGAGAUGGGAGGAUUGCGAGUUCAAGGCCAGCCUGGGCAGCAUAGUUAGAUCCCAUCUUGA